This 184-nucleotide ribosomal RNA is filed under the name uncultured archaeon. RNAcentral's name for it is "partial 16S ribosomal RNA". It matches the Rfam family "Archaeal small subunit ribosomal RNA", at positions 467 to 651 of the family's 1478-position model. The record is from RNAcentral.
GCGGUAAUACCAGCUCUCCGAGUGGUAGGGACGAUUAUUGGGCUUAAAGCGUCCGUAGCCGGCUUAGCAAGUCUCCUGUUAAAUUCAGCGACCUAAUCGUUGAGCCGCGGGAGAUACUCCUAGGCCAGGAGGCGGGAGAGGCCGACGGUAUUCUCGGGGUAGGGGUGAAAUCCUAUAAUCCCGG